GACUGGUCCAAAUGUAGUGAGUUAUCUCAAUUGAUUGUUCCCAGUUACAAAUUGAACUCCUUUUUCUACUCUUUCCCUUUCCCUUUUUCUUACUGCAAUUGACUAAUCUUAA
This 112-nucleotide Y RNA is filed under the name Microcebus murinus (gray mouse lemur). RNAcentral's name for it is "Y RNA (ENSMICG00000029819.2)". It matches the Rfam family "Y RNA". From Rfam's summary of the family: Y RNAs are components of the Ro ribonucleoprotein particle (Ro RNP), in association with Ro60 and La proteins. The Y RNAs and Ro60 and La proteins are well conserved, but the function of the Ro RNP is not known. In humans the RNA component can be one of four small RNAs -- hY1, hY3, hY4 and hY5. Lineage: Eukaryota; Metazoa; Chordata; Mammalia; Primates; Cheirogaleidae. The record is from Rfam by way of RNAcentral.